AUACCUUUCUCGGCCUUUUGGCUAAGAUCAAGUGUAGUAUCUGUUCUUAUCAGUUUAAUAUCUGAUACGUGGGCCAUCGGCCCACAUGAUAUUAAAUUUAUUUUUCUAGGGAAGGGCCAACUGCAAUAGCUUGCUAUUGGGGCCUUUAAGCGUCGCCCUUGCGUUGCACUACUGCUUGGGCCUGGCGCAUCCCUC
RNAcentral lists this small nuclear RNA (195 nucleotides) under Cucumis sativus (cucumber). RNAcentral describes it as "snRNA U2". It matches the Rfam family "U2 spliceosomal RNA". Rfam says of the family: U2 is a small nuclear RNA (snRNA) component of the spliceosome (involved in pre-mRNA splicing). Complementary binding between U2 snRNA (in an area lying towards the 5' end but 3' to hairpin I) and the branchpoint sequence (BPS) of the intron results the bulging out of an unpaired adenosine, on the BPS, which initiates a nucleophilic attack at the intronic 5' splice site, thus starting the first of two transesterification reactions that mediate splicing. Lineage: Eukaryota; Viridiplantae; Streptophyta; Magnoliopsida; Cucurbitales; Cucurbitaceae. The record is from Rfam by way of RNAcentral.